AUGGAAAAGGGAAGAGCAGUGAGCAGGGAAAUCCCACCUAAAGGGAUUCCCAGCUGGCAGUGGAGUUUAGGGCCUUUAGCCCCCAGUAAUUUGGGGUUUAAAGGCCAAAUCCCAAACGACCCCCGGGCAGCACAAAAGGGAAGGGGCAGAGCACAGAACAGGACUGAAGUGUGCAGGAAGUUUUGUACCCAAGAGACGGGAGCCAAAUCCCUUUUCCAAGGGGACAGAGGAGCUGCCAGCCCCCAUCCCAUAUCCCACAUCCCACUCCCAGGCUGCCCCCACAGGCUCCUCCAUCCCAAAUCCCCCACAGGACAGCCCCAGGGGCUGUGGGGUCGGGCUGGGGUAGAUAUGGUAUCACUCACCCCAAAACUGCCCCAUCCCACAGCAGCACUGGCCCCUUAUCAGAGCCCGGGCACCCCUCCUGGGGCUGAUAACGGGAACGGGGAGGGAGGGACCCCAAAACACCCAGAUCCUGCGGGGACAGCGGGGUGGGCCAUGGGAGGGGCUUGGGGUCGUGGGUGGGAUCAUUGGGAUCGUCUGUGGGGUCGGGUGGGCAUCACUGGGAUCGUCUGUGGCACUGUGGGUGGCAUUACUGGGAGUGUCUGUGGGGUCAUUGGGAUCGUCUGUGGGAUCACUGGGUGCGCCUGUGGGAUCAGGGGGGCAUCAUUGGGAUCAUCUGUGGGAUCAGAGGUGGCAUUAUUGGGAUUGUCUGUGGGAUCAUGGGGAUGGUCUGUGGGAUUAGGGGUGGGCUCACUGGGAUCCUCUGUGGGAUCAGGGGUGGCAUCAUUGGGAUCCUCUGUGGGAUCACUGGGAUCCUCUGUGGGAUCAGGGGUGGCAUCAUUGGGAUCCUCUGUGGGAUCACUGGGAUCCUCUGUGGGAUCAGGGGUGGCAUCAUUGGGAUCCUCUGUGGGAUCACUGGGAUCCUCUGUGGGAUCAGGGGUGGCAUCAUUGGGAUCCUCUGUGGGAUCACUGGGAUCCUCUGUGGGAUCAGGGGUGGCAUCAUUGGGAUCCUCUGUGGGAUCACUGGGAUCCUCUGUGGGAUCAGGGGUGGCAUCAUUGGGAUCCUCUGUGGGAUCACUGGGAUCCUCUGUGGGAUCAGGGGUGGCAUCAUUGGGAUCCUCUGUGGGAUCACUGGGAUCCUCUGUGGGAUCAGGGGUGGCAUCAUUGGGAUCCUCUGUGGGAUCACUGGGAUCCUCUGUGGGAUCAGGGGUGGCAUCAUUGGGAUCCUCUGUGGGAUCACUGGGAUCCUCUGUGGGAUCAGGGGUGGGCUCACUGGGAUUGUCUAUGGGAUCACUGGGAUCCUCUGUGGGAUCCUCUGUGGGAUCACCGGGCUCCUCUGUGGGGUCUGCCCGGCCCCAGAGCCAGGCAGGGACACGGGGGGUCCCGCUGGUCCCCAUGGGGUGGGGGGGACACCCGGCACACAAAGGGACCGAGGGGGGCACGGGACAGCCCGGGGGGGACAGCAGGUCCUGGAAGGGACACGGGCAGCACCAGGCAGGGACAGCAGGUCCUGGAGCAGACACAGGAAGGGACUCGGGAGCGAGACGAGAGAGGACACCAGGUCCUGGAAGGAACAAGGGGGGCACCAAGCAGGGACACCAGGACCUGGAGAGGACACGGGGGGCACUCGAGAGGGAGACACCAGGUCCUGGAAGGAACAAGGAGGGUCACUCGGGAGGGGACACCAGGUCCUGGAAGGCACACGGGGGAUACUCGGGAGGGACAGCAGGUCCUGGAAGGUACACGGUGGGGGGAGGACGGCAGGUCCUGGAAGGCACAAAGGCACACGGGGGCGGGGGGAAGUGGGGGGACGGCAGGUCCUGGAAACAGGGAUACAGGGACAGAUGGACAGGGGGACAUAGAGAUGGGGGACAGGGAGACACAGGGAUAGAGGGACAGGGGGACAGGGAUAGGGACGCGGGGACACAGGGAUAG
Molecule: long non-coding RNA, 1935 nt
Organism: Ficedula albicollis (Collared flycatcher)
Lineage: Eukaryota; Metazoa; Chordata; Aves; Passeriformes; Muscicapidae
Source: Ensembl